This is a long non-coding RNA of Felis catus (domestic cat), 2469 nucleotides long. RefSeq lists it as uncharacterized. NCBI's taxonomy places the organism in Eukaryota, Metazoa, Chordata, Mammalia, Carnivora, Felidae. The record is from RefSeq and is a predicted model, not a curated record. The transcript has 2 exons.
GGAAGCCCCCCGGGCCUGCGCGGAUGAGCAGCGCGUCCCCUGCUCGCCGUGCUCCUCCCCGGAGGCCGGUGGAGCCAGGCCCACAGCCCCCCAACCCCCGGACCCGGGAGCGGCCCGCCCCAGCAGCCUGUGGUCUUCCUCGGCCAGCUGGACGCCCGGCCGUGUGACCACUGAGCAUCGGGCAGGAAUAACAAUGCAAAGAAACGGAAGGUCACGGACCCGACGCGUUGCGGGUGACCGUUCUGAGUGGAAGGAGAACAGCUGUGGGAACAAACAGGUGGCCCGUGAGCCCCCGGGUCCCCGGGGCGAGAGGACCCGGGGCCGGCUGGGGCACCACCCUGCCGCACCGCUGCCUGGUCCUGCCUUUCCGCUGGCGGUAGGAGUCGGGGACCCCGAUUUUGUUUGCUAGAGCGCUGCAGGAACAGGGCCCCACACGGCCUCGCGGGAAAUUAAAUUUGGAAAUGAGGUACCAGGUUUGGCAGGGACCGCAGCGGAGCCCCCCCAGAGCCCCGCUGACAGUCCGUGGAGCCCACAUCACAGCUAUUAACCUUUUGCCCCAAAACACGUGGAGGAGAGCUGCCAGAAACCUGGGAGGAUUUGCCUAAGUGACAGUCACCGCGGGAGGCCAGCCCACCUUGCACAGCGAUUGCCAGAUCGAAACGAUGAGUGAGGGAAAAGGGAGUAUUAAUGGAACAGGUAACCACCGUGAAUUAAUAGAUACACAGGGCCCGGCGUUCAACAAAGAACGUGUGUGAGGACCCCCGGAAAACCUCAGCAGGUUCCUAAAAGGGGAAACGGAGGGGCGCCUGGGGGCUCAGUCAGUUAAGCGGCGGACUCCUGAUUUCGGUUCAGCUCAUGACGUCACAGUUCGUGAGUUCAAGCCCCGCGUGGGGCUCUGCGCAGACAGUCCGGAGCCUGCUUGGGGUUCUCUCUCUCUCCCUCUCCUUCUGCCCCUCCUCUGCUCGCUCUCUCUCUGUUUCAAAAUGAAUAAAUGAAUUUCUGAAAGGAGGGGGGGCCGGUGCAGGCCGUGCUCCCUGGCCCCGUGCAGGAACACAGAGCCAACAGCAGGUAAGGUCUCUCCAAGCGGACCCCCCCGCGGACCGCACCCCACCGGCCCCGCACGGCCCUGCUGCCUCGAGCGCAGGGCCAGGUCCUCUGUGUCCUGGAGGCUGAACGUGACAAAGCGUUCACAGACGCCCCUCACGGGCGGCGCUCCGGUCCCGUCAGCUGCCACGGCCAGGGCCCCACGCGGCUCACACGGUCUUCUGAGCUGAAGAGGAAAUGCAACAUGAAACGUCACAUCACAGACCCUUGGUCAGUUUGGGGACGAGGGCGCUGAUGCCAAAAACCCCGACGUGGCCCAGGAGACCGUGGAUCGCCGCGACUCUGACCCGGGUGACAGGGCGUGAGACUACGUGUUCCUUUAAGAGGCCGGACGCGGAAAAACACCCCAUCCAGAGCCAGGCCCCGGUCCCCCCUCCCCCCCACUGCCUGUGAGUGACACUUGUCACCGCGCAGCCUGGGUUCUCCUUGGGAACACGUGACUUCUAAAGCAUAGGGGAGCAGAACACACUGUGCAUGCGGGGAGGGAACGCCAGGCAUCCACAGCCCCAGCUGGACUCCACUGGCCACCGUCGCCUCCUCAAGGUCAGGGACACGGAGGGACAGCCGGCCGGUGCCCACAGCGCAGGGCUCCUUCCACAGGACGCUUCAAACACGUCCUCCCACGGCAAAGCGGACCCCAGUGCCCACCCUCCCGAGUCGGCCACCCCGCGUUGUCCAGAUGGGCCCCCCGCCCCGUCAGCUGUCUGUCCCUCGGAUGCACACCUCCGCCCAGUCUCUGAAAGCUCUCCAGCAGACAGACGGUUAACUAACUAGACUUCGGAAGUUGUUUACGGUUCUCUAUUUCUUUCCAGGAAAGCUGUAGACGCGGCCCACCGUACUCAGCGGCAGAAGGGGGUGCAUGCUGACGCCCGCGGCGUGAUGACCCUGAAACCCCAUGCGCAGGGGAAGAAGCCAGGCGGGAAGGGCCCCCGCCACGCGAUUCCACUCACGUGAAAUGUCCCGGGUGGGGGCGCCGGCGGAGAUGGAGGGGGCUCAGGGCUGCGGGCCCAUCAGCCGAGUGCACCACGAGUGCCUUCUAACAGAAGCCACUCCGGAACAUUCUUCCUGCCGCUCCCCUAAGUCCCCGUCCCCACCCCCAGGGGCAAACCUGAUUGUGCCCCAUCCCCAACUCCCCACGAGAGCAAUCACACAGCAGAGGCCUGUGCACGCGCCUUCCACGCAGGGUUUCUGGGGUCACGGCACGUGCUAGAGGUUCACACGGGCGGUCUGAAAGCAAGCGGCGGCUCAGACUUCCAGAUACUUCCAACAAAACCACAAUAUCAUGAUGGAAUCCUCACCAUCGUCACCUUGAGAGAGACAGUUCUUUUUUUCUUUUUUUUUUUUAACGUUUACUUAUUGUUGAGA